CGCCGAGUCACCGGGAGCUGCGAGGUUUGGUUAAAAAUGACAGCUCGAGUUUGUCCACGUCAACAGCACUGAGCUGUUCGGCCGCCACCAUGGAACCCGGAGCUCCGGAAGCAUCGCUUUAUACAGUCAAAGUGCUUUUCAUAUUGGACAGUGAUGACAAUCGGCCUCUUGCAAAGUACUAUGAUUCUGAGCUGUAUCCUUCCGUGAAAGAACAGAGGAAUUUUGAAAAGCAUGUCUUCAACAAAACACACAAAACUGACAGUUGAUGAUAGCCCCCUGUUGGAGCACAGCGUGGCUCAGGUGUUGCAGUCGGCAAAGGAACAGAUCAAGCGGUCGAUUCUGAAGUAGAGGAGAGAGAGAGAGAGAGAGAGAGAGAGAGAGAGAGAUAUUAUACACGACUGUUGGACAAAACCAAAAACAGUGUUUCAUUUUUCACUCUGCGGUAAUAAUUAAACCGUGUCAGAUUAUUAAAAGCGGUUUAGAAAGCACUAGAAUGAAAUGUUUUUUUUUUUCGUUGUAGAACUGCGUAAUUUAAAACGGUAGAGUCGUAAAAUAAAAACAAAAACAAAAAUAAACCUCUUUGAAUUACAGUUCUGCUGCCGAUUUGACCAUCCCGUUUACCGAUGUAAUGUUUUGUGUGUGAGGUUUUAUGUAUUACAUUAAAAAAAAAAAAAAGAAGCCCUGAAUUAGAUGCGCCGCCUCGGCUCCUGUGUUGUUCCUGCUGGAGUGAUUUUCUCACGCCGCACGCAGUGUCAGUGGUUGCUAGGCAACAGUUCCACGACACGCAGCCCACGUCACGUGGAAGUGCGUAAUCAAUGCUUAUGCAGUAACAGAGUGGAAGUGCUGAGCCAGCGGAACCACAGAAGGGUUUUUUUUUUUAAUUUAAGAGAAAUGUUUUGUCGUCGUCGUCCCCCUUUAUGGGAGCAAAAUGUACAAUUUAAUAACUACAUGUAAUGUUAAAUGGGAUUGGAUUAAACUUGCGUUUGUGUGUUAUGGCUGCUUUUGGUGGGAAUCCACGUACCUUCAAAAUACUUAUUUUUCGUUGGAGUUUUUUUUUUUUUCUUUGAGAAACAGUAACGGGCAGCUAGUAAAUGUAAAUGAAACUCAUUUAAAUAGUUAUUUGUCUCUGCUGUUGCACAGAUUGGCACUGUUUGAAUUCUGUGUGGUUUCUGAUUGUUGACUGAAAAGACGAUAGCAGCGGUAUAGCGGUAAUGUCCUUGUUCAAAGAGUUCCAUUUUUAAUAAAUACAUUCAGUGUAAUUGUACUCUGUGCUUUGCCCAGUGUGUUUCUGUAAGUACCUUGGUAUUACAGCCUGACAACUGCGUUAACCGCUGUUCAGUUUUGUUGGUGGCGGCCCCCGGGUUACGCUGAGGUUGUCCCGGCUCUAGAAGCUUGGAAAGCCGCGGAUAAAUCUACAGCUGUGCCAGUGAUUACAAUUGCAGCGUUUAAAGUGUGCACGUCGAAUUCGUUUGUACACGAAGCCAUAUCGAUCAUUGAUUUGUAUUUGUUUUGUCAUGAUGUGGACUUUUAUUAUUAUUAUUAUUAUUAUUAUUAUUAUUAUUAUUAUUUAUAAAACUUGUAACUGAACAAAAAAGGGAAUUUCUGAAACCUACCUAAUAAAUAUUUACAAAACUAUGA
This is a long non-coding RNA of Polyodon spathula (Mississippi paddlefish), 1638 nucleotides long. RefSeq lists it as uncharacterized. Lineage: Eukaryota; Metazoa; Chordata; Actinopteri; Acipenseriformes; Polyodontidae. The record is from RefSeq and is a predicted model, not a curated record. The transcript is spliced from 5 exons.